Dermacentor silvarum is the source of this 437-nucleotide long non-coding RNA. RefSeq lists it as uncharacterized. Lineage: Eukaryota; Metazoa; Arthropoda; Arachnida; Ixodida; Ixodidae. The transcript is spliced from 3 exons. The record is from RefSeq and is a predicted model, not a curated record.
CUAUGCCACGUUUAUGCAGGGUCGGACUUGUCAAUCAUCAACAUCGACAGCGUCACCAUCGACAACGCAGCGUUGGGACAGGAGGUGGCCGUGGACGCGAGAGUCCAAGUUCUCCGAACCUUUGGAAGCUAUCCCGUCUUGGAAAUAUACGUCAACAACACGGGAGGAAACGUACUUCCGUGCUUCUACAGUUAUCUGCCGAAAGAAGCGAGGCUUUGUAACGGCACGACGGCUGUGGAAGAAAAACUGAGUUCCGACUGGAACAACCGGUGCCCCAUAAGAGCAGGUGGAUACACCUUCCACCUCGUAUUCAAGCUUCCUAGCGUUCCGUCCGCCGAGUCCUGCGUAGGGAAUGGCGAUCUGGUUUUCACUUUCAAAGUUAGGGACGAAGGUUAUAUUUUGGACUGCGUGACAUUUCCCGUCAAGAUUGAUCGUCG